This 507-nucleotide ribosomal RNA is filed under the name Triticum aestivum (bread wheat). Its description in RNAcentral is "partial small subunit ribosomal RNA". The record is from RNAcentral. Lineage: Eukaryota; Viridiplantae; Streptophyta; Magnoliopsida; Poales; Poaceae.
AUGUCUUAUACAUGGCGGAGUAUUUUGAAAGGCAUCAACCUGCUGAAAAAGGGCCUAAUUUGGAGAAUUGGAGAUGGCCGAAAGGUGAGCAUCUGGCAUGACCCAUGGAUUCCUAGAAACUUCACUAGAAAACCAUGCACUCCAAAAAGCAAUAGCCCUCUGAAUCUAGUAGCUGAAUUAAUUAACCCGGAGACUGGAAGUUGGAACAUGGAUAUUCUGGAAAGGAAUUUUUGGGACGAAGACGUCAAGGCUAUUUUAAGUAUCCCAAUUAGUAUAGACUAUGAUGAUGAACCUGCUUGGCAUGUGGAUACAAAAGGCUUGUUUUCAGUAAAGACGGCAUAUCAUGUCUAUGUGGAGGAAGAGAGGAGGAGAAGCCAGAAAGGGGUAGCAGGACCAUCUACGCAAAAUGUUGAACAUGAAGUAAACUGGAGAAAGAUUUGGAAGUUAAAGUGCCCAAAUGAUAUAAAGCACUUCAUUUGGAGAUUAGCCAUGACUCUUUGGCUUUGA